RNAcentral lists this non-coding RNA (20 nucleotides) under Arabidopsis thaliana (thale cress). Lineage: Eukaryota; Viridiplantae; Streptophyta; Magnoliopsida; Brassicales; Brassicaceae. The record is from RNAcentral.
UGUAGCCGCCACUAGUCACA